CAGUCGCCGCGGGAAUACGUAGGUGGCAAGCGUUGUCCGGAAUUAUUGGGCGUAAAGCGCGCGCAGGUGGUUUAAUAAGUCUGAUGUGAAAGCCCACGGCUCAACCGUGGAGGGUCAUUGGAAACUGUUAAACUUGAGUGCAGGAGAGAAAAGUGGAAUUCCUAGUGUAGCGGUGAAAUGCGUAGAGAUUAGGAGGAACACCAGUGGCGAAGGCGGCUUUUUGGCCUGUAACUGACACUGAGGCGCGAAAGCGUGGGGAGCAAACAGGAUUAGAGACCCCGGUAGUCCCUGUCUCUUAUAC
Molecule: ribosomal RNA, 301 nt
Filed under: uncultured bacterium
Lineage: Bacteria
Description: partial 16S ribosomal RNA
Rfam family: Bacterial small subunit ribosomal RNA
Source: RNAcentral